This is an RNA transcript of Achroia grisella, 2620 nucleotides long. It is a transcript of the gene named succinyl-CoA:3-ketoacid coenzyme A transferase 1, mitochondrial, with no coding region annotated. The record is from RefSeq and is a predicted model, not a curated record. Lineage: Eukaryota; Metazoa; Arthropoda; Insecta; Lepidoptera; Pyralidae. The transcript is spliced from 11 exons.
UCGCGGCACAAACAACAAAAUCUCAUUCUUAUCAUUUUAACGUUGCUCGUAACAAUGCAAAUACUUGUCAGUUAUAUUUUCUGUUAAUUUAUUUAAUCGGAGUAUACGGGAACGCGACCUAAUUUUGUUUACAAUAUUGAGUAAUAAACAGCUGAUCUAUUGACAUAUAAUCUGACAGAUAUUUGUUUGCAAUGUUUUGAAAUUUUUAUUUCGUCAUUAAAUAUAUAAUUAGAAUGUCUUAUAGUUGCUAAAAAAUUGUGAAUAACCAAGUAACUAUACAAAAAUUAAAAAGGACAACGCACUAAAAACUUAGCACAAUGAUUUCAAAAAUAGUAAAAAUGUAUUGUUAUUCACAAACCAAGUUUUGCUACAAAAAGAUAUUAUCAUGUGCGAAUUAUAGCACAUUAAAAAGUACCAACAAAAUCUUUACGGAUGCCAAAGAGGUGAUUGCUGAUAUUAAAGAUGGAUCAAAGCUUCUGGUCGGUGGAUUUGGAUUAUGUGGUAUUCCUGAGAAUUUAAUAAAAGCCCUGAACGCAAGUAAUGUGUCCAGGCUCACUGUGGUUUCUAACAAUGCUGGUGUUGACAAUUUCGGAUUGGGUCUUUUACUGAAAAGUAAACAGAUUAAACGAAUGAUUGCUUCCUAUGUUGGAGAAAAUGCUGAAUUUGAGAGACAGUUUUUAAAUGGGGAACUAGAGGUAGAGUUGACCCCACAAGGAACCUUAGCAGAAAAAAUUCGAGCGGGUGGUGCUGGAAUACCAGCUUUUUUUACACCAACAGGUUUUGGUACAUUAAUACAUGAAGGUGGAUCACCUAUUAAGUACACUAAAGAGGGAAAAAUUGAUAUACCUAGUACUGCUAGGAAAGAGCUACAGUUUGGUGGUAAUAACUAUAUAUUAGAAGAAUCUAUCACUGGUGACUUUGCUCUUAUAAAGGCUUGGAAAGCAGAUAAAUAUGGUAAUUUAAUAUUUAGAAAAAGUGCCAGAAACUUUAAUCCAGCUAUGUGUAAAGCUGCACGCAUAACCAUAGUUGAAGUAGAAGAAAUAGUUGAUGAAAUUGAACCUGAUUUUGUACAUGUACCCUCUAUAUAUGUACAUAGGAUUAUAAAAGGCGAAAAUUAUGAAAAGAGGAUUGAAAAAAGAACUUUAACUAAACCAGCAAUACAAAAAGAGAAAAAAGCAUCAGAUGUAAUACGAGAAAGAAUAAUUAAGAGAGCAGCUUUAGAAUUCAAAGACGGAAUGCAUGCAAAUCUAGGAAUAGGAAUGCCUAUGCUAGCCAGUAAUUAUAUUCCAAAGAAUGUAAAUGUACUGUUACAAUCAGAGAAUGGAAUUCUCGGUCUCGGACCAUUUCCAUCAGAGCAAGAGGUCGAUGCUGAUCUCAUCAAUGCUGGAAAAGAAACUGUGACAGUCCUUCCUGGAGCAUCAUUCUUUUCGUCCGAUGAUAGCUUUGCAAUGAUACGAGGUGGGCAUAUUGAUUUGACUAUUUUGGGUGCUAUGCAAGUUUCUCAGUACGGCGAUUUAGCUAAUUGGAUGAUACCUGGUAAAAUGGUAAAGGGAAUGGGUGGUGCCAUGGACUUGGUUUCUGCCCCAAGAACAAAAGUUGUAGUUACCAUGGAACAUGCUGCUAAAAAUGGCGGCCAUAAAAUUGUACCCGAAUGUACAUUGCCGCUCACUGGAAAAAACUGUGUUGAUAUGAUCAUAACAGAAAAGUGCGUGUUUUUAGUGGAUAAGGAGAAAGGUCUAACGCUAUCUGAACUCGCUGAUGGCGUUACUGUAGAAGACGUGUUGGUGAGCACCGGCAGCGAAUUCAACGUCUCACCUAAUUUAAAGAAAAUGGGCGAUGUGACCCGUCCAGAGACGUUUGUCGAAUGAUAAUGCAAACAACAUUUGAUUGGAUGUAAUUUCUGAACAUAGACUGAUUUAUUCUUGACCAGAAAAAAAUUAACAAUGGAUACCUAUCCUAAAUAUAAAGCGGAAAAUUCUGGGGACUGGAAUGCUCAUAAGACCACAAGGGCAGAAGAUAUACCUUAAGACCUUAGAUUCAGUAUACGUCCGGUGAUUUAAUAUUUUUAUUAUGCAAGUAGGUUGAUUUCAUAUUAUACACAUUGUCAUUUUUAUUCAUUAGUUGUCAGAAGCGACGUCUAUUUAUAAUAGUUUAAUUGUAUUGGGUAAUUACUAAUUAAACAUACAAUGAAAGACAAGGAACAAAAUCAUUCUAUCGUCAUAUGGGGUUCAUGUUUUUUGUGGUUAACAUCCAUUUUUGCUAUAAUAUGGUCUUUACUCUUGUUUUUUUGCGUUGGAGACAUGCUAUGGAUAACUGGUACAGAUUUGAUCAACGCGUUUCUACUACUUUCAGGAAUCAUAAUGCUUCCUACUAAUAUUCACUUGUUGUAUUCUAUUGCCAAUGGAAAAAAAAUUGAGUGUAGUUUAUUUUUAUAAUUGAUAAAUUUCUUUUUAUUUGCAAAAUACGUAUCAUGUUUGUUAAUACAUGUAUGUAGAUACAAUACUUAUUUACAUAUUUAAUAGACACGGAGAGUGACUAUAUUUCUUUUAAUAACAUACUUCACUCCUAUUUCGAAAGGUUUAGUUUUAUAAUAAUUAAAUCUACUACCUCCGUCAUAUAC